Molecule: ribosomal RNA, 471 nt
Filed under: uncultured organism
Description: partial 16S ribosomal RNA
Rfam family: Bacterial small subunit ribosomal RNA
Source: RNAcentral
ACUCCUACGGGAGGCAGCAGUGGGGAAUAUUGCACAAUGGGCGCAAGCCUGAUGCAGCCAUGCCGCGUGUAUGAAGAAGGCCUUCGGGUUGUAAAGUACUUUCAGCGGGGAGGAAGGCAAUACGGUUAAUAACCGUGUUGAUUGACGUUACCCGCAGAAGAAGCACCGGCUAACUCCGUGCCAGCAGCCGCGGUAAUACGGAGGGUGCAAGCGUUAAUCGGAAUUACUGGGCGUAAAGCGCACGCAGGCGGUCUGUCAAGUCGGAUGUGAAAUCCCCGGGCUCAACCUGGGAACUGCAUUCGAAACUGGCAGGCUUGAGUCUUGUAGAGGGGGGUAGAAUUCCAGGUGUAGCGGUGAAAUGCGUAGAGAUCUGGAGGAAUACCGGUGGCGAAGGCGGCCCCCUGGACAAAGACUGACGCUCAGGUGCGAAAGCGUGGGGAGCAAACAGGAUUAGAAACCCGUGUAGUCCCA